ACGGCGAGUGAAGCGGGAUGAGCUCAAGCUUAAAAUCUCCAUACGAGUUUCGUAUGGCGAAUUGUAGUCUAUGGAGGCGAUGUCAGUGCGGCUGUUCGGGUUAAGUCUCUUGGAAAAGAGCAGCAUGGAGGGUGAUACUCCCGUUCGUGCCUGAGCAGCUUGCGCGUACGACACGUUUUCUUUGAGUCGCGUUGUUUGGGAAUGCAGCGCAAAGUGGGUGGUAAAUUCCAUCUAAAGCUAAAUAUUGGUGCGAGACCGAUAGCGAACAAGUACCGUGAGGGAAAGAUGAAAAGAACUUUGAAAAGAGAGUUAAAGAGUACCUGAAACUGCUGAAAGGGAACCGAAUCGUUUCCAGUGUCUAUAAUCCUUGGCAUAUUUCAUUGGCGAGUGCAUGCGUGCAGUGUGUAGACAGCGGCUUGCUGCGUCUUACAUUGUUCUGCGUUUGCUUGCUGGUGCCCUGUGCUUUGGUGAGACGUCAGAGUCAGUUCGUAUGCUGCGGGAAAUGGUUAGUCGAGGAGGUAGGUCAAGUGCUUGCGCUAGGCUGUUAUAUCUUGAUUAACUAGUAGUCGUGGUUGGGACUGAGGUGCCUACAACGUGCUUUAAAGUCUUGCGGGUGCUCGUCUGGUUUGCUGCCUUGAUAGCUUGCUAUGUUGGCGGUGGAAUCGGGUGAUUGUGCUUGUAAGUAA
This 686-nucleotide ribosomal RNA is filed under the name Lagenidium sp. PWL-2010d. Its description in RNAcentral is "eukaryotic LSU rRNA". It matches the Rfam family "Eukaryotic large subunit ribosomal RNA", at positions 86 to 628 of the family's 3401-position model. The record is from RNAcentral. Lineage: Eukaryota; Oomycota; Peronosporomycetes; Pythiales; Pythiaceae.